GUGAGGAAUUUUCCGCAAUGGGCGAAAGCCUGACGGAGCAAUGCCGCGUGAAGGAUGAAGGCCUAUGGGUUGUAAACUUCUUUUCUUAGAGAAGAAUAUUGACGGUAUCUGAGGAAUAAGCCCCGGCUAACUCCGUGCCAGCAGCCGCGGUAAGACGGAGGGGGCAAGCGUUGUUCGGAAUUAUUGGGCGUAAAGGGCUCGUAGGCGGAUCUGUAAGUCUGGCGUGAAAUCUCCACCGCUUAACGGGGAGCUGCCGCUGGAUACUGCAGAUCUGGAGUUCGGUAGAGGAUCGUGGAAUUUCGGGUGUAGCGGUGGAAUGCGUAGAUAUCCGAAAGAACACCAGUGGCGAAGGCGAAGAUCUGGGCCUGAACUGACGCUGAGGAGCGAAAGCUAGGGGAGCAAACGGGAUUAGAAACCCGAGUAGUCC
RNAcentral lists this ribosomal RNA (427 nucleotides) under uncultured bacterium. Its description in RNAcentral is "partial 16S ribosomal RNA". It matches the Rfam family "Bacterial small subunit ribosomal RNA", at positions 354 to 796 of the family's 1533-position model. The record is from RNAcentral.